This 364-nucleotide ribosomal RNA is filed under the name uncultured bacterium. Its description in RNAcentral is "bacterial SSU rRNA". It matches the Rfam family "Bacterial small subunit ribosomal RNA", at positions 32 to 396 of the family's 1533-position model. The record is from RNAcentral.
AAUCAACGCUGGCGGCAUGCCUAACACAUGCAAGUCGAACGCGAAAGGGUCCUCGGAGUCUGAGUAGAGUGGCGUCCGGGUGAGUAACGCGUAGGUAAUCUACCUUUGGGUGGGGAAUAACUCAGGGAAACUUGAGCUAAUACCGCAUAACAUUGAAAGAUCAAAGCGGGGGAUCGCAAGACCUCGCGCCUGAAGAGGAGCCUGCGUCUGAUUAGCUAGUUGGUGAGGAAUGGCUCACCAAGGCUUCGAUCAGUAGCUGGUCUGAGAGGACGGCCAGCCACAUUGGCACUGAAACACGGGCCAAACUCCUACGGGAGCAGCAGUGGGGAACUUUGGCAAUGGGCGCAAGCCUGACCCAGCAAUG